This 897-nucleotide small RNA is filed under the name Drosophila virilis. RNAcentral's name for it is "GJ25967". The record is from RNAcentral. Lineage: Eukaryota; Metazoa; Arthropoda; Insecta; Diptera; Drosophilidae.
CCAAUGGUCGUUUUCUUUAUUUCUAUUAUUAUAGAAUUGAGUAAAUAAAUUACUCAGCAUUUGUUGCUCAUUAUUUAAUUGAGCUUUAUCUUUGGUUUCAUUUCUAUUUUAAUAUGUUGUUUCGCCAAACAAAUUCAGUUCAAGUAUGAAUAGCCUUUGAUUGAUGCCACUAAACCAAACCAAUUUUGCAGAUCCCACUGUCGCCCUUGCAUUCGCAUACCCGGGAUCGAGAGAUGGUUUCUAAGGUCACGCUAAACAGUCUUUUUCAGUACACUUUGAUUUUCAACAAUGUGACAUAGCUCUUCUAAGUGUAGGGCAUUAAUUUACUAGCAAAUUGAGACGUAUCUUGUAGCCGUCUACAAUGACAACCGGACACGGCACAAAGGACACAAACGUCUACUGUAUCAAAUAAUAACCAAAUUUACAUAAACGCGAUUGCCACUCCAUAUAGGUUACACAUGCAGCACACAAUUUAAACAGCUCGAGAUCGGUCGGCAUAUAAUCAUGAUCGAACGUAAUUGUGGUUGAAUGUUUAGCAGGCAAUAUGGCUAGACCUGCUUAUAAAUUUCUAGGAUUGGUAAAUUCGACGGUACCUCGCUCAGUGAUGGGCGUUGCAGUUAGCGUCGUGUACGCUAAAUGAAUGCGAUCCAUAAAUGUUUGAAAACGAAGCUCAACACAUACUUGAUUAUCAGUUUAAACGCCAAAUGUCGCUCGUUAAAACUUGGAGAAGGACCCUACUAAGUUGUUAGUCGGAAAAUCGGAAACAUUCUUUGUGAAAUAGUAGUUGUAAUUCUUAACUAGUAUUACAGAUUGGUUACAGAGAGCAGACAUUAAAUUGAUAUGAUUUAUUAAUAAAUACGCCAAUAAAUUGCCUAAUUAAUGGGCGAAUUCUAAAUA